This 368-nucleotide ribosomal RNA is filed under the name uncultured organism. Its description in RNAcentral is "bacterial SSU rRNA". It matches the Rfam family "Bacterial small subunit ribosomal RNA", at positions 526 to 896 of the family's 1533-position model. The record is from RNAcentral.
CGGAGGGUGCAAGCGUUAUCCGGAUUCACUGGGUUUAAAGGGUGCGUAGGUGGGCUUGUAAGUCAGUGGUGAAAUCUCCGGGCUUAACCCGGAAACUGCCAUUGAUACUAUAGGUCUUGAAUUAUCUGGAGGUCAGCGGAAUAUGUCAUGUAGCGGUGAAAUGCUUAGAUAUGACAUAGAACACCAAUUGCGAAGGCAGCUGGCUACAGGUAUAUUGACACUGAGGCACGAAAGCGUGGGGAUCAAACAGGAUUAGAUACCCUGGUAGUCCACGCCCUAAACGAUGGAUACUCGACAUUUGUGAUACACAAUAAGUGUCUGAGCGAAAGCAUUAAGUAUCCCACCUGGGAAGUACGACCGCAAGGUUG